ACCGUACUCCUACGGGAGGCAGCAGUGGGGAAUUUUGCGCAAUGGGCGAAAGCCUGACGCAGCAACGCCGCGUGGGGGAUGACGGCCUUCGGGUUGUAAACUCCUUUCGACAGGGACGAAGCUUUUUGUGACGGUACCUGUAUAAGAAGCACCGGCUAACUACGUGCCAGCAGCCGCGGUAAUACGUAGGGUGCGAGCGUUGUCCGGAAUUACUGGGCGUAAAGAGCUCGUAGGUGGUUUGUCGCGUCGUCUGUGAAAUUCCGGGGCUUAACUCCGGGCGUGCAGGCGAUACGGGCAUAACUUGAGUGCUGUAGGGGAGACUGGAAUUCCUGGUGUAGCGGUGAAAUGCGCAGAUAUCAGGAGGAACACCGAUGGCGAAGGCAGGUCUCUGGGCAGUUACUGACGCUGAGGAGCGAAAGCAUGGGUAGCGAACAGGAUUAGAAACCCCAGUAGUCCUUGAC
Molecule: ribosomal RNA, 461 nt
Filed under: uncultured bacterium
Lineage: Bacteria
Description: bacterial SSU rRNA
Rfam family: Bacterial small subunit ribosomal RNA
Source: RNAcentral